RNAcentral lists this ribosomal RNA (253 nucleotides) under uncultured bacterium. Its description in RNAcentral is "partial 16S ribosomal RNA". It matches the Rfam family "Bacterial small subunit ribosomal RNA", at positions 524 to 776 of the family's 1533-position model. The record is from RNAcentral.
UACGUAGGCAGCGAGCGUUGUUCGGAGUUACUGGGCGUAAAGGGUGUGUAGGCGGUUCUCUAAGUUUGGUGUGAAAUCUCCCGGCUCAACCGGGAGGGUGCGCCGAAAACUGGGGGACUCGAGUGCGGGAUGGGAGAGUAGAGUUCCUGGUGUAGCGGUGAAAUGCGUAGAUAUCAGGAGGAAUACCGGUGGUGUAGACGGCUCUCUGGACCGCCACUGACGCUGAGACACGAAAGCGUGGGUAGCAAACAGG